UCUUUUUUGACACUUUGAUUGUUCAGGAGCAUGUUGUUUAAUUUCUACAUAUUUAUGACUUUUCCAAAAUUCCUCUUGUUUUAAUUUUUAGUUUUAUACCAUUGUGGUCAGACACAAUACUUGAUAUCAUUUUUAUCUUCUUAAAUUUGUUAAGACUUGUUUGUGGCCUAAUGUAUGGUCUAUCCUGGAGAUAUUUCUUAUGCACUAAUAGAAGAAUGUAUAUUCUGCUGCAGUUGGAUAAAAAAUUAUAUAUAUAUAUAAUGUUAGGUCCAUUUUGUAUAAAGUGUAGUUCAAUUUCAGUAUUUCUGAGAGGUGAGGCCAACUGGACUUCCUGGGUUGAGUAGGGACUUGGGGAAUUUUCCUGUCUUACAAGAGGAUUGUAAACCACACCAAUCAGCGUUCUGUAUAACACACCAAUCAGCACUCUAUAAAACGCACCAAUCAGCAGGAUUCUAAAAGUAGCCAAUCAUGGGGAAGAUUGAAAAAAGGGCACUCUGAUAGGACAGAAGUGGAACACGGAAGAGGACAAUAAGGAAAUAAGAGCUGGCCACUUCAGCAGCAGCGGCAACCCGCUUGGGUACCCUUCCACACUGUGGAAGCUGUGUCUUUUCGCUCUUCACGAUAAACCUUGCUACUGCUCAUUCUUUGGGUCCGUUCCACCUUUAAGAGCUGUAACACUCACUGCGAAGUUCCACGGCUCCAUUCUUGAAGUCAGCGAGACCAUGAACCCACCAGCAGGAACCAACUCUGGACACAUCUUCGGGACUCGUCGAGGAUAUUGCCACGCGUUUAGACAGCAGGAGUGGAAUCUUGGACUCAUCACGCCCAAGUUAAACUUUGGACACCCCCUGAAGAACCUGCGGGACUGUCAGCUCAGGAGUCCCAAGAUCAGCCAGACCAGCCUCGAUACACCUGUGAACCAUUGGAGGACUUGCAUCUCCUAUUUCAGAAGGAAACAUCCCAGACUAAAAAGGCUCCUACAGCUGAUCCUGAGGAAAAACCCCUUCCUACUUAAAAAAGAUAAGUGAAACCCUACAUAAUCUUUAACACCUCUUUUUGCCCCUUUAAUGGAAUCCUUUUACUCUUUCAUCACAUUAUUAAGCAGUAUAUUAACCAUACUCUUUGCAGUAGGACUAUAUACUGUAGCUCCUGCUGGGAUGAAAAUCCUAAUCACAUCAACCUUUUAUCUAUCAUCCUUCCUUCUGACAGCAAUUACUCCCACCUUCAACUCAGACUGGAUAAAACGAUCUUAUCUUCCAGGGCACCCUCUUUUCCUUCCUACUUACUCUUUGCCUAUCUAUCCCUCCUGCUUCCUGGGCUACCCCACAUAGUCGCCCCUCCCCUUCUCUAGCUCCUAAUUACCUCUACAAGACUCUCAACCCACUCUCUGUUAAACCAGUCCAAUCCUUCCCUGGCAAAUGACUGUCGGCUUUAUAUCCCUCUAUCAGCCACUGCUUACGUUGUCACUCCCAUUCCUGCAAAAACUGGGUCUUUACUAACUUAACCUACCACCCCCGUUAUGAAGGAAAAGACCCUUUCCAACUUCUAAAUAUGCAAUCAUUAGCCAACUUCUCCAUCUCUGAUAGGACCAAAAAUACCCUAACAGGAUGCACAAUCCAGCUUUUACGCUCUCACAUUUCCAACCUCACCUAUUACAUGAGCAAUGAAAAGCCCAUACACGGCCCUGUAACUACGAAUACCAUCUUAACUUUCUAAGCCUCUUUAUGCAUCCAAUGCAACCUGUUAUCAGGCCUGCCCCUGGGGCACCUACUAUCCUAUCAGUGUAAUUACACCCUACAACUUCAAGCCCCAAAUGAUCAUAGUAACUUCCAAGUCACCCAAACAGCUCCAUUCAGAUGGCUUGUCCGCUUCUCAGGGCCCCCCAAAAUCUUCACCUCCUCCCUGCUUAACAAAUAGUCUGGGUUUUGUAAUGGCAAACAUACUUCCUGCAUGAUCAUUCACCCCUGGACCCCCUGCAGCAGCGCCCCCACCAUUAAUGAAUGCCUUCUCAUCCCCUCUUUCAAUUACUCUCUUGAAUGGUUCCCAGUAGACAUAAAAUGUUUUUUUUUUUUUUCUCCAGUGGGAAAAUAGAACACAGGGAGCCACUCAUUUGCUCCCAACACCCCUUUCCAGCUGCUCACUGGAGCUACCUUGGCAAGUACUCUAGGAGUAUGGGAAAAUGAAAAAAACAAACUCACACACCUUUUUAACAUACACAACCAGUUCUGUCUACCCAGCCAAGGCAUAUUCUUCUUAUGUGAAACUUCAACCUAUAUCUGCCUCCCCAUUAACUGGACAGGCACCUGCACCUUAGUCUUCCUAAGUCCCUACAUUGACGUUGCCCCAGGAAAUGAGACCCUAUCAGUGCCCCCUCAAAGCUCAAGUCCCUCGGGGCAGAGCUGUACAACUAACACCCCUACUUUUAGGGUUAGCAAUGGCCACUGCUACAGCAACCAGAAUAGCCACUUCAUUAUCCUACUUCUGGAUAUACUGCUGGCUAGGGUGGCCAGCUUUUAUUCCCUUAUUGUCCCCUCCCAUGUUCCAUUUCCGUCCUAUCAGAUUUACCUACUUCUUUAUCUACUUCAUUAUCCUACUACCAUACACUCUCAAAGGAUUCCUCAGACAGUUUGCAAGACAUAACAAAAUCUAUACUUACUCUAUAAUCCCAAAUAGAUGCUUCGGCAGCAGUGACUCUCCAAAACCACUGAGGCCUAGACCUCCUCACUGCUGAGAAAGGAGGACUUUGCACCUUCUUAGGGGAAGAGUGUUGUUUUUACACUAACCAGUCAGGGAUAGUAUGUGACGCCACCCAGUGUUUACAGGAAAAGGCUUCUGAAAUCAGACAAAGGCUUUCAAACUCUUAUACCAACCUCUGGAGUUGGGCGACAUGGCUUCUCCCCUUUUUAGGUCCCAUGACAGAUAUCUUGCUAUUACUCGCCUUUGGGACCUAUAUUUUUAACCUCCUUGUCAAAUUUGUCUCUUCCAGUAUCCAGGCCGUAAAGCUACAGAUGGUCUUACAAAUGGAUCCCCAAAUGAGCUCAACUCACAACUUCUACUGAGGACCCCUGGACCAACCCACUGGCCCUUUGGCCUAGAGAGUUCCCCUCUGGGGGAUGCUACAACUGCAGGGCCCCUUCUUUGCCCCAUCCAGCAGGAAGUAGCUAGAGCGGUCAUUGCCCAGUUCCCAACAGCAGUUGCGGUGUCCUGUUUAGAGGGGGGAUUGAGAGGUGAGGCCAGCUGGACUUCGUGGGUUGAGUGGAGACUUCGGGAACUUUCCUGCCUUACAAGAGGAUUGUAAAAUGCACCAAUCAGCACUCUGUAAAAUGCACCAAUCAGCGCUCUGUAAAACGCACCAAUCAGCAGGAUUCUAAAAGUAGCCAAUCACAGGGAGGAUAGAAAAAAGGGCAAUCCGAUAGGACAGAAAUGGAACAUGGGGAGGGACAAUAAGGGAAUAAAAGCUGGCCAGCGCAGCCAGCAGUUUCAACCUACUCAGGUCCCCUUCCAUGCUGUGGAAGCUUUGUCUUUUUGCUUUUCACAAUAAACCUUGCUACUGCUUACUCUUUGGGUCCGUGCUAUCUUUAAGAGCUGUAACACCACGAGCAUCCGUGGCUCCAUUCUUGAAGUCAGCAAGACCAUGAACCCACCAGCAGGAACCAACUCCGGACACAUCUCCUUAGUAAUAUUGUGUCUGGUUGGUCUGCCCAUUGUUGAAAGUGGGUUACUGAAGUCCCCUACUAUUAUUGUUUUGCUAUUUCUCUCUUCUUGUCCACUAGUAUUUGCUUUAUACAUAUAGGUACUCUGAUAUUGGUUGCAUAUAUAAUUAAAAUUGUUAUGUCCCCUUGAUGAAUUGAGUUCUUUAUUGUUAAAUAAUGACCUUCUUUGUCUUUCAUGAGAGUUUUUGACUUGAGGUCUAUUUUAUCUGAUGUAAGUAUAGCUACUCCUGCUCUGUUUUGGUUACCAUUUGCAUGGAAUGUCUUCUUCCAUCUCUUCACUUUCAACUUAUGUGUCCUUAAAGCUAAUAGAGUCUCUUGUAGCCAGCAUAUAGUUGGAUCUUAUUUUUAUCUAUUCAGCCACUCUGUGUCUUUUCAUUGGAUAAUUUAAUUCACUUGCAUUCAAAGUAAUUAUUGAUAGGUAAGGAUUUACUAUUGCAAUUUUAUAAAUUGUUUUCUAGUUGUUUUGUACAUCCUUUGUUUCUUUUCACUUGUUGUCUACCUCUGUGAUUUGGUUAUUCUCUGUAGUGCUAAGUUUUUAUUCCUUUCUCUUUAUCAUUUAUGUAUCUGCUAUAGUGUUUCAUUUUGUGGUUACCAUGAGGCUUACAUACAACACCUUAUAAUAGAUUAUUUAAUACUGAUAACAACUUCAGUUGCAUACAAAAACACUAGACUUUUACCCUGCACCUCACAAUUUAUAGUUUCCAUGUAUAAUUUACAUCUCUUUAACAUUGUAUUUACCUUAACUUAUUGUACUUAUGGUUAUUUUUGUCCAUUUUGACUUUUAUCUUUCAUUCUAGACAUAUGAAUGAUUAAUAAGCCACCAUUAUGGUAUUGGAGUAUUCUGAAUUUCACUAUAUAUUUACCUUUACUGGUAUAUUUUUUUACCUUCUUACGUUUUCUUGUUAGUAAUUAGUAUCCUUUUUUUCCCACUUGAAGAACCUUCUUAAGCAUUUCUUGUAAGGCAGGUCUAGUGGUGAUGAAUCCCCCCAUCUUUUGCUUGUCUGGUAAAGACUUUGUUUCUCCUUCAUUUCUGAAGGACACUUUCAUUGGGUAUUAUAUUAUUGGCUGACAGUUUUCUUAUUUCAGCACUUUGAAUAUAUCAUCUCAUUCUUUCUUGAGCUGCAAAGUUUCUGUUAAGUCCAUGGACAGUCUAACAAUAAUUCCUUUAUAUGUGGCAUAUUGCUUUUCUCUUGCUGCUUUUACAAUUCCCUAUUUGUCUCUGACUUUUGAUAGUUUGACUACAAUAUGCCUCAAUGAGUGCCUUUCUGGGUUAAACCUGUGUAGGAACCUUUAGCUUCGUGGAUCUGGAUGUCCAUAUCUUUCCCAAGACUUGGGAAGUUUUCAGUGAUUAUUUCAUUAAAUAAGCUUCAUGUCCUUUACUGUAUCUUUUCUUCUUCUGAAACUCUCAUAGUGUGAUUGUUUGUUUGCUUAAUGGUUUCCCUUGAGUCCCACAGGCCUUCUUCACUCUUAUUAGUUUUUUUUUCUUUUUCUUUCUCUCUCUCUGUUUUUUUUUUUCUUUUUUACCUCUGAAGGAGUAGAUUCAAAAGAUCUGUCUUCAAUUUAACAGAUUCUUCUGCUUGAUCUAGUCUGCUGUUGAAGCUCUCUGUUGUAUUUUUUGUUUUAUGCAUCUGAUUAUUCAGUGUCAGGAUUUCUAUUUAGUUCUUUUUUAUAUUUAUCUCCUUGUUGAAUUUCUCAUUCAGAUCAUGAAUUGUUUUCUUGAUUUUGUUGAAUUGUCUAUCUGUGUUCUAUUAUAUCUCACUGAGUUUCCUUAAGAUCAUUAUUUUGAAUUUCUUUUUGAGCAUUUCAUAAAUCUUGCCUUUAGGGCCAGUUACUGGAGAACUAUUGUAUUCCUUUCGUGGUAACAUGUUUCAUUAUUUUGUUUUGUUCUUACUUCUGUGUCCUUGUAUCAAUGUCUGAACACCUGAUGGAACAAUGACCUCAUUCAAACUUUACAGAAUGGCUUUUAUAGAGAGAGUUUACUUGCAGAUGUGUCAGGGUAGUACCAGUUGGAAAGGGUUUGGUGGCUCUGAAUUCAAGUGGACCCAGUGAAAUAGCCUUCCUACAACCAUUUCAGCUGUGAUCAACAUCAAUGACUGCGAGUGCCUCAUUGGCCUAAGCUACAGGAGUUUGUGGCAGUGGCAGCAGCAGCUCGUGAUGUUAUAUUGUUUAGUGACAAGGGACUUGGGAGUCUUCCUGUUCUCAUUUUCUUUACAAUGGAGAGUCAUAGCUCAGGAAACUCCUCUUGGCAAUGGGUCUGAUAUGGUUUAUAAGCAGCCACAGUGACACUGGGUUUCAGGGUGCAAGUGAUCAGAGUAGUGUGGAGCCAGGGUCCUGGGCUUAGAGUCUUGAAAGCCUUCUGUGGUCCCUGGGACUUGGGGCACAGGUUCACUUUCAGGGGCAUAGGUAGAUGCAGAUUGCCCACAAAGCCAAAGCAUGUGACCCUGAAGGACACCCCAACAGCUUGGGUCCACAGGGAUGGGUUUUAGUUGUGACUCUGACCCUGGGAGACAGAGCAUAGCACUGGGCUGGCCCUAGGGAACGGGUUUUGGGCCCUCAGGUACAGGGCACAGCUGCAGUUUGGGACCCAGAGCCCAGUAGGGCACAGUGGCAACUUACGCCCUGGAGGAUGAAGCACCAUGAAGUAGUGACUCUAAAUCUGGCUGUGGUAGGGCACAGCAGUAUCCCAAGCUCUCUGAGGCCGGAGGUAGUGGCAGGAAGGACCCAGAAAUGGUGAAGCACAGCUGUGACUGGAGCUUCAGAGGGCAGAAAGUACAGUGAUGACUCCGCUCCCCAGACAGUGUGUUUUGGCGGCUCAUACUCUGGAGGGCUAGCUCGGUUUUAAGGAAACAGGGUGUUACAGUUGUUUGGUUUGGAAUACCAGGAUCUCACCUCAGCCAAUGCUUUGUUUCCCUAGGACAUGAGGUGCCACAUCAGCUCAGCCCUGGGAGGCCUGGAUGCUCAGCUCAGAGAUGGAGUCUUGCUAUGUUGCCCAGACUGGUCUCAAACUCCUGAACUCAAGUGAUCCACCCACCUUGGGCCUCCCAAAGUGCUGAGAUUAAAGGUGUGAGCCACUGUGUCUAGCUACUUGUAUUUUUGUACCCGUUAACCUCUUUUCACCCGUCCCUGCUUCCCACGACCCCUCCUGGCCUCUGGUAACUGCUGGAUAGAGUAUAUCUUCAUGAGAUCCACUUUCUUCAGUUC
This is a long non-coding RNA of Macaca mulatta (Rhesus monkey), 6914 nucleotides long. RefSeq lists it as uncharacterized. Lineage: Eukaryota; Metazoa; Chordata; Mammalia; Primates; Cercopithecidae. The record is from RefSeq and is a predicted model, not a curated record.